RNAcentral lists this ribosomal RNA (375 nucleotides) under Episinus angulatus. RNAcentral describes it as "partial 16S ribosomal RNA". Lineage: Eukaryota; Metazoa; Arthropoda; Arachnida; Araneae; Theridiidae. The record is from RNAcentral.
GCUCAAUGAAUCUUAAAUAGCCGCAACUUAUGUGCUAAGGUAGCAUAAUCAUUUGUUUUUAAUUGUAAACUAGAAUGAAAGGUUUCACAUAAAAUUUCUAUAAUAAUUAUUUUUUUAUAAAUUAUAUUUAAUAUAAAAAUAUAUUAAUAUUAUAAAAAGACGAUAAGACCCUAUUGAAUUUUUUUUUGUUUAGCUGGGGCAGCUAAUUAAUAAUAAUUUUAAUUUUAAUCUCCAAAAAUGACCCAAAAUAUUUGAUUUUUUAAUUAAAUUACCAUAGGGAUAACAGCGUAAUAUUUUUCUAAAGUUCUUAUUUAAAAGAAAGUUUUCUACCUCGAUGUUGAAUUAAUUUUCUUUAUAAAGCAGAAUUUAUAAAAG